UGGGGAAUAUUGGACAAUGGGCGAAAGCCUGAUCCAGCAAUGCCGCGUGAGUGAUGAAGGCCUUAGGGUUGUAAAGCUCUUUUACCCGGGAUGAUAAUGACAGUACCGGGAGAAUAAGCUCCGGCUAACUCC
Molecule: ribosomal RNA, 132 nt
Filed under: uncultured bacterium
Lineage: Bacteria
Description: partial 16S ribosomal RNA
Rfam family: Bacterial small subunit ribosomal RNA
Source: RNAcentral